RNAcentral lists this long non-coding RNA (3141 nucleotides) under Sus scrofa (pig). RNAcentral's name for it is "lncRNA (ENSSSCG00000057579.1)". Lineage: Eukaryota; Metazoa; Chordata; Mammalia; Artiodactyla; Suidae. The record is from RNAcentral.
UCCUUUCGUCUAGCGGACUUAUUCAGGUGCGUCACUAACCUCCUUUCGUCGUUGUCGUGGCCAAAAAAAUGGUCCUCUAAACUGGCCUGGGGUCGCACUCACCAGCCUUCGGGGGCUGAAGCUCACCCAUACUACCGUUUUUGUGUCUUUAACUAGGACUCUUGUUUGGAGCCCAAGAGUCCUACAACUCAGGGCGGGCUGCUCAAACUCCAUGUUUUAAUGAAAAAUUUCAGAUGAAGACUAGGCGAUUUAGAAAGCUUGCUCGGAGGAAUUUAUUAAGAAGGGAUUCCCAAGCAGAGCUGUGCCCGAGUCAAGGGCUGAUUCUAAGUGGAGGGCGUUGAUAAGGGAGGACUUCAGGGAGGAGGUGCAUUUUAGCGCGAAUUGAAAAGAGAACGGAGACGAAGUCGUAUAGACUGGGAGGAGUGGCUUGGAAAAAAAUCUUAUGCAUAAUUAAGCAGAAGUACCUGGCAGGCUAAGUUGGGUGGCUCAAGGCCAGAAAACAGACAGACUGAAGAAUGGAAAAUGGUUGUGAUACACUGCGCUGUGAAUAUAUGCCCUAGAGCUUUGUGAAAAGAGGGGCUGAAAAACCUGCCUCCUGUAAAAUGUUUACCAUUUCACAGAAAGUUUCUCUAAGUGCUACCCUGGGUGUGUGACUGAGUCUGACUAACAUCACUGCUCUGCAGUAUAGUGUCAGGUAGACAAUAGCUAACUCUUAAGGAACCCGGCACUGUUCUAAGUGCUUUACAGUUUUCAAUUCUUUUAGGUAUUAUUUUCCGAUCUUGCAGAUAAGGAAGUGAAGGCACCAAGAUGGUAAAUACCCCAUUGGUAGAAGGGGGGAUUUGAACCCAGCAAGCUCCUUCUAGACCUCAUGUACUUAAAGCUGAACAUCCAUCAACCUGCUUUGCUCAAAGGAAACUUUGAGGAAGCAUAGUCUGAUUUAGGAAAAGGCUUUCAAUUUCAUUUUAUAAAUGAAAGGCUACCUUCAUCACUACAACAAAUCCUACAAGUAGGUCAAGGAAGAUUUACUUAGUGGUGGCUCAGGACUUAGUUAUGGAUAAGAGUUAUUUAUAACUAAGAAAUCAUUCAGUAUUGUAAAUAUCUAAAAUGACUUAAGGAUACUAGAAACAGUCCCUUUAGAAGUUUUAGCUUUCUCUUUCAAAAAAAAUAUUUUCCGUUAGUAACCAACUUAGCAAACUGUUACACAAUUAGGCCAAAGUUACACCUUUCUGAACACAAAUUCCUGAUUAAUGAAUUUUCAAUAAAUGAGAUUUUACUGUAGUUACUUAAUUAGUAUUUUGUUUUAGUCUUUUGUUUUGCACUGUCUAUAGCCUUGUUUUAAAGCAAAACCUAAUUUCCUUUCACAUCUGGACUUAGGAUCCAGGCUAAUUUGUAAAAGGGUUAAGAUUCAGGCAGUUGUAAAUCAAGCCUAAGAAUGAUAAAACUGAAUCCGGGGCAGGCCAGAAUAAAAUUUUUUUCAUAUUCUCUGUUACUCCACGAACAACCUGAGCCGUAAAAAAAAAAAAGUUGAUCUUAUAAUAAUUCCCAUCUUUACCAACCUCUUAGCUGCAAAAUCGGCUCCCUUACAUAAUUGGGGAGAAUAUAAUAGGAAGUUCACAUCAAAUGAAAUAAUGGAAUUGACUGUAAAUUAAUGUGAAAAACCUCUGGUUAGAUAGAAUAACUUUUAUCUUUAUGGCUAAGAGGGCUGAGCCUGGCUGUAAUAAAAGAUGGUAGUCUUUAAAACAUUCGGUAUUUUAUAAAGUCAGAAAAUGUCUGUAACAUUCUCAUAAGUCUUUGAGAAAGUCUUUGUGAUUUCUGCUUUUCUCUUUUCUCAUGCGUCUCUUACCCCACAUGAGGCACAAAAUCAGCUGCUGUCAUGAAGUGGUGUUCCUGAAAGCUCUCUGGUGCUGACCAAGACAGGUGUCCUGGUUAUACCUUGACAAAGCCAAGUAAAAAGGAACUAAGGAAAUAGCAUUAUUCACCUAAUUAAUUAAAAAAAAACCCAAGCUAGCAAUACGAUGUUUCCUUUAUUACUACCAAUCUUUAGAAUUAAUUUUUCUUUACGGUUUUUGAGAUAUAAAGCUGUUCCCCAAAACCCCCACAGGCUGGGUUUUGUCAUUUAUUUUAAUGCCAGUAAACUCACUGCCUCUUGUCAGUGAGAACCAUGGUCACGUCCCCUGGGCUUGGCUAAACAGAGAGAAGCAGUGGUCUGGCUGCUAUUCCCUGAAGGUGCACUGGGAGAUAAGGCAUCUCUAAGGUAACCAGAACUGACUACCAAGUUCUUGACCUAAAAGAGUCACUGGGUAUUACAUUGGAAAGCCAGUGCCAGGUGUUACGUUAGAGGCGGAAACUGCCUAGUUCUCCCAAUUGCAGUCUUGUCAAACCAAGGCCACAAAUAUGUUUUUUGCAGUUUUGUGGAGGCUCUGUAUGUUUGGGCACUGAGGGGUGCCGGCUGCAAAGUGCAGUCAUACAUAGGACAAAUGCAAGCGGGACAAAUGCUUUUGCCCCUGUGCUUUGCUUUGGUGAUGAUCUUAUAGGCCAAUCCUAGGCUUGAGUUUCUCUCUACAGUAAUAGAGUGAAGCAUAUAUAAAAAUUCCAUAGCAGAUAUGAUAUUCUCUAAUAAGGACAAUGAGAUAUAGAUAAAACCUGCAGAGAAAAGAUGUGAUAUUUGUUAAUAUCCAUUUUUGGAGGAAGUAAUUUAUUUAUUUAUUUAUUUUGCUAGUCUCAUUUUUAGCCAAAACCCCCAUCAACCAACCAAACAAAAUCCACUGUGGACCCAGUGCUUAGUUGUAUCCACAACUCUGUAUGAAGAGAACUCUAUAGGGUUUAGUCCCUCUCCUUAGAAUAUACAGUCUAAAAAAGAGCCUCCCUUCCCUCAAAUUGAAAGCAUUAUCACCCAAAUUCUUCCAUGUUGUUUGGGAUUAACAUAUACACACUAAUGUAUAUAAAAUAGAUAACCAACAAGGACCUUCUGUGUAGCACAGGGAACUGUACUACAUGUUUUAUAAUAACCUAAUGGAGAAAAAUCUAAAAAAUAGAAGAGGUAGGGAGUUCCUUGGUAGUCUAGGGUUAGGACUUGGUGCUUUCACUUCUGUGGCCUGGGUUCAAUCUCUGGUCUGGAAACUGAAGUCCCACAUCAAGCCA